RNAcentral lists this long non-coding RNA (321 nucleotides) under Citrus sinensis (sweet orange). Its description in RNAcentral is "long non-coding RNA (CSIN_LNC003156)". The record is from RNAcentral. Lineage: Eukaryota; Viridiplantae; Streptophyta; Magnoliopsida; Sapindales; Rutaceae.
CCGAACUGGCCUUGUCCUAGUUUCCUACCAAAUUUGAAAAAUUCCUUAAAAUUUCCUGUUCUCGUCUGUAAAACGGAUCCAGUCCUGAGUCCAGCACUAGAUACCCUCUUCAUUUCUGGGGAUUUCUUGGGUUUUGUCGGAUGUUCUGGUUUAGCUUCUGGUUUAGCUUCAGGUUUAGUUUCUGGCUUAGUUUCUGGUUUAGGCAUCGUCAACUGUUCUGGUGGUUUAUUUUGAACCGGAAAGGGCGAUUCAGGUUCUUUCGUUGUUGCCUCAGUCACAGUUGCUUCAUCAGUACGUGUAUGAUUAGAAACUGACUCAUCA